Long non-coding RNA from Ostrinia nubilalis (European corn borer), 1426 nucleotides. RefSeq lists it as uncharacterized. Lineage: Eukaryota; Metazoa; Arthropoda; Insecta; Lepidoptera; Crambidae. The record is from RefSeq and is a predicted model, not a curated record. The transcript is spliced from 2 exons.
GGCGCGUAACGCCUACGCAAACUUUUACCACAAUUCUUCCUCCGUGUAACAUCAACUGUAAAUUAGUAUAAGUAGUUUGCAUAUUUCAUAUUAAAACCAACUGUCAGUCUCAUUCCGCUACCGACCUUUGCAAUGUAAAGAGCCAUUUUUGUAAUAUAAACUAUCUUGAAGAAUUUGGGCGUUUCAAUAGCUCCUAUCUGUAUAUCUAAAUAUACAUGAUGGUGGCCCAUGAGGGGAAUCCAAACAACAAAUGAAGAAUUGAAGAAUUACGCGAAAAUACGCCGGAUGGUGCGAGCAGUGGUGCAGCUAAGUUCCACAUCGUGCGCGGCGGUUCUGCUAAAAGAUAAGUGCCCUUCCUUACACUUCCUUUACCAAAUCCAUGUCCUAAAUCUCCUAUUAAGAAUCUGCAUCCAUUUGUGUUAAAUAAUUGUGGAAUUUCGUAACAAGUAAUUCGUUAACGAGAUUGCAUCAUCAUUCGAAUCUACCGUCGUUACAAAAUAAAAACAAAUUUCAAGAUAGUUUUGCAUUAAACAUCAAUUACCUAAUAAAUACAGUAAUGAAUACAUAAUUAUAUUUAAUAAAUAUUGAAAUACAAAUUAACUUUUCAUAGAUUUUGCAAUUUACUAGGUGUUUUUGAGAUUAUUUUCAUAGAUUAGUCAUCACAGUCAACUCGUCUCGAUCUAAGAUAGGUAUUAAAGCAUAUUGCCGACAAUUUCAGGGUGUAAUUAACGCUUGCGCUGCGCAAUCAAACAGCUGCGUUAAUACCUACGGCUACCCGAUAACGGCGGCGGCCAGCUGACCGGUUCCUGCGGCAAGUACCACCGAGACGAGGAGCGGCACUUCAUCAUCGGCAGGCCGCUGACUGCACUACCCACGCCACCUAUUGAAGACCACCACAAUGACCAUCCACGGAACCGCUAUCUACGGCUAGAAAGCAUAAGGCAGCACUUCUGGCGGAGGUGGAACAAGGAGUAUCUAUCAGAGCUACAACAGAGGACUAAAUGGCGUAUCAAUACAGCCCAGCUCAAUAUUGGAGAUAUGGUGCUCCUUGCUGAAGACCACGCGCCGCCCUUGAACUGGCGCCUGGGACGCGUGUUGCGGCUCUUCCCGGGACCCGACGGCAUCUCGAGAGUGGCGGAUGUCAACACGACCCGUGGCUGCGUGCGGCGGCCCCUAACUCGCCUCUGUCCACUCCCUACGACUGAAGAUCUUCAAGGUUGAAAGUGAUCUUUCAACGGCCGGGAGGAUGUUUCGGCGCGUAACGCCUACGCAAACUUUUACCACAAUUCUUCCUCCGUGUAACAUCAACUGUAAAUUAGUAUAAGUAGUUUGCAUAUUUCAUAUUAAAACCAACUGUCAGUCUCAUUCCGCUACCGACCUUUGCAAUGUAAAGAGCCAUUUUUGUAAUAUAAACUAUCUUGAAGAA